This 328-nucleotide ribosomal RNA is filed under the name uncultured eukaryote. RNAcentral's name for it is "partial 18S ribosomal RNA". It matches the Rfam family "Eukaryotic small subunit ribosomal RNA", at positions 1470 to 1796 of the family's 1831-position model. The record is from RNAcentral.
CCCUUAGAUGUCCUGGGCCGCACGCGCGCUACACUGAUGCAUGCAACGAGUUUAUAACCUUGGCCUGAAAGGUCUGGGUAGUCUUUUGAACGUGCAUCGUGAUAGGGAUAGAUUAUUGCAAUUGUUAAUCUUGAACGAGGAAUUCCUAGUAAACGCGAGUCAUCAGCUCGCAUUGAUUACGUCCCUGCCCUUUGUACACACCGCCCGUCGCACCUACCGAUUGAAUGGUUCGGUGAAGAUCUCGGACUUCGAUAUUUAUUCUUUAUUGAGUUUAUAUUGUGGGAAGUUAUCUAAACCUCAUCAUUUAGAGGAAGGUGAAGUCGUAACA